UUUCAUUUAAACUAACAGUUCUAUAACCCGCAGUCCACUAAAAAAAAUUUAUAAAACUGGGAUGCGUUUUCUAUUUUUUUUUUAUCUUGCUUUUGCAGUUAUAUUCUGGGCACACGGUACCACGGUAUAUUACUUUACUAUCGACGCUAACGAACGCCGUUGCUUCUACGAAAAUUUUAAAAAAGACAACACUAUAGUUCUUGUUUACCAGGUUGUCGAAGGUGGCUUUUUAGACAUUAAUGUCAAGUUAAAUUCAGCAAAAGGAGACCUGCUCUAUGAAUCAGGAAAAAAAGCUGAAGAUAGCGCCAUAUUUGCCGUGAACGAAAAUGGAGAAUAUCAACUUUGCUUUGACAAUAAAAUGUCUACAGUAACUUCCAAAAGAGUUUUGUUUCAGUUUGUUUCUGGUGAACAAAAUAUAAAGGACGUAGAUAAUAAAGAUAACACCCUGAGUAAAAUGCUCGAACAGCUUGGCGAUAAACUACGAGAAGUAUGGAACAACAACGCCUUUUUAGCGUCGAGGGGAGAAGCACACGAUAAUAUCAAUCAAAGGACACAUGAUAGAAUACUUUAUUGGAGUGUGAUCGAAAUCUUCUUGGUAUUUGCCAUGUCCCUUUCUCAAGUGUUCUACUUAA
Zophobas morio is the source of this 632-nucleotide long non-coding RNA. RefSeq lists it as uncharacterized. The transcript is spliced from 5 exons. The record is from RefSeq and is a predicted model, not a curated record. Lineage: Eukaryota; Metazoa; Arthropoda; Insecta; Coleoptera; Tenebrionidae.